This 569-nucleotide ribosomal RNA is filed under the name uncultured Gammaproteobacteria bacterium. RNAcentral's name for it is "bacterial SSU rRNA". It matches the Rfam family "Bacterial small subunit ribosomal RNA", at positions 812 to 1381 of the family's 1533-position model. Lineage: Bacteria; Pseudomonadati; Pseudomonadota; Gammaproteobacteria. The record is from RNAcentral.
UCGAUUUGGAGUUUGUUGCCUAGAGUGAUGGGCUCCGAAGCUAACGCGAUAAAUCGACCGCCUGGGGAGUACGGCCGCAAGGUUAAAACUCAAAUGAAUUGACGGGGGCCCGCACAAGCGGUGGAGCAUGUGGUUUAAUUCGAUGCAACGCGAAGAACCUUACCUGGUCUUGACAUCCACAAAAUUUUUCAGAGAUGAGAGAGUGCCUUCGGGAACUGUGAGACAGGUGCUGCAUGGCUGUCGUCAGCUCGUGUUGUGAAAUGUUGGGUUAAGUCCCGCAACGAGCGCAACCCUUAUCCUUUGUUGCCAGCGAUUAGGUCGGGAACUCAAAGGAGACUGCCGUUGAUAAAACGGAGGAAGGUGGGGACGACGUCAAGUCAUCAUGGCCCUUACGACCAGGGCUACACACGUGCUACAAUGGCGUAUACAAAGGGAAGCGAAGGUGCGAGCUGGAGCGGACCUCCUAAAGUACGUCUAAGUCCGGAUUGGAGUCUGCAACUCGACUCCAUGAAGUCGGAAUCGCUAGUAAUCGUGAAUCAGAAUGUCACGGUGAAUACGUUCCCGGGCCU